UGGGCUUACUGGAUUGAGAACUGUGCAC
This 28-nucleotide non-coding RNA is filed under the name Rattus norvegicus (Norway rat). Lineage: Eukaryota; Metazoa; Chordata; Mammalia; Rodentia; Muridae. The record is from RNAcentral.